Molecule: long non-coding RNA, 2740 nt
Organism: Pogoniulus pusillus (Red-fronted tinkerbird)
Lineage: Eukaryota; Metazoa; Chordata; Aves; Piciformes; Lybiidae
Exons: 3
Source: RefSeq, a predicted model, not a curated record
GCUAGCAGCGGCGGAGGAGCCCCGCUGGACGCCCCCAGGCAGAGCAGGGCAGGGCACAGCAGCCUGCUCCGCUCGCCCCACUCCCUGCGAGUAGCCCUUCCCUUUCCGCCCCCGCGCACACCCGGUCCCCGCUGGAGCCCCCUCCUCGGCCAUUGCCUUUCCACCACGCCGGGGAAUAGGACCCUCCUGACCCCUCGCCUCGUACUCUCUGACCCCACCCCCAUAUCGCCCUAUGGCGAGUAGGGCCCAGCGCCCCCCCCGGAGCUUGAGCUAUGUCCCCGCGGAGCCCGGCUGCCCCGCGAGGUGACAGCGGCGGCAGCAGCCUGGGCCCCCGCCUCGCCCCAUACCUCUCACCGCCGCCCGCCCCGGCCCCAACUCACCGGCGCGCCGGGCAGCUGGCCGCCCGCCGGCACGCAUCCAGCCCUCCGGCUCCCACCUGGCUGGCGCCACAGCCGCCUGGGCUUCGCUUCGCGCCUGCAGGCGGGCGGGGUGUCGGCGGCAGCGGGGCCGUUCCGGCGGGCGGCCGUUAAUAGCAGCGUCUCUGCCGGCUGCGCCGCUGCGCCCUGCCCCGCGGUGCGGCCGGCCGGCCGGGAAGCGGACAGCGCCCGCGCACCCCCGCGCCCCGCCUCUUCGGGAUAGAUCACUUUUUCCUCUCUUUCCCUCUUUUGGGGCUUUUUUUUUUUCCCUCUGUCUUUUUGGGUUUUGGGUUUGUUUAGUUUUUUUUCAUUUUCCGUCCAAGUUCACUGGCGAGCCGCCACGCUCAGUUCAGCGAGCGCCGGCGGAUCGAUGUGCUGCGGGUUUGAUUGUGCAUCCCUGGGCGGCGGGGCCGCGCACCAGCGGGGAGGGCCGGGGCGCGCGGGGGCCCCUGCCGGCCUCCCGCCUCUGCCGCGCCACCGGGCACGGUGGCGCAGCACCGGCAUCGGCAGCGCUGCGCUACCGGGGCCGCCUGGGUUUGAGAGAAGUGGAGAUAAAGAGGAAGAAAAAAAAAAUAAAAGAAAAAGAAAGGGGGGAAAAGUAGCGAUUUUUUUUUUAAAGUUGACGGGGAGGAAUAAAAAGCGAGGCUGCUCUCACUUUCACGGUAAGAUCAAAAACUCUCCACUAGCCCCCAUUCUUCGAGUUUUGGGAUCAUUCCAAAUACCUGACUAAGUGCAGAUGUUGUUGCGUCUUCACAUCUUAUAAAGCCGCUGUGCCGACCGCUCGCUCUUGCUUUCCUUUCCAAGUUGCAGGAAAUUCAAACACUUUACAUGAAGGGUGGAGAAGGUUUGGGAUAUAUUUUUUGGAUUAUUACUGUUGUGAGCUGAUUUAUUUUUUUGUAAAGCUGAUCUUUAAGAUGAAAAAAAAGUCGCAGUCGCCUAAAGUCCCCUGGAAAUUGCUACUGCUGGGGAAAGCGAAACAUUUCUUGCAAAACAGAAAAUGAUCCCGUAGCAGAGCUCUCCCUCUCGCAGAAGUGCAGCCUGCGUGGAAAGUGCAGGUUGUACCCUCAGCAGCUGAACGGUGUCACUGAAACAAACAUUUGCAAAGUUUCCCAAGAAUCCCCUCACACUACCCAGGUGCGGCCGGCAGCUGAGGGCUGAGCUGAGACGAGGACCGCUAAAAUUAACGGUUGGUUGUGGGAAUAUCCAGGGAGGAUCAGAAGGAAGUUUAUUAAACUUGGAACAGCUGCCUCGUGGAAACCAACAUCUUUUGGUCUUUAACCUUUUUCUCUCCCCGAGCAGCGAGUUGUUUCACCAGUUGUUCAUUGCAGACAAGGGAGGGAGUAGCGUACUUCGAGGUCCCCAUAUGCCUGUAUAGCUGCUCUCAGAGACUCAUUUAUUAGCACUGGCCGAUGGCUUUCUCUGGGGGUGAGAUCCUCUAUGUGAACCGCUCCGUCCCCGGGAGCUCUCACCUCUGUCGAGCACCAGUCCGGCUCCGCGGGCUCCUCUGCCCCUUCAUCAGGAGCAGAGACGCCAACGGGAGGUCCCUGAGGGUCCUCCACAGCCGAGUGUCCCCCGGACACGCAGGAAGGGCUGGGCAUCAGCAUGCCGGGGCCUUUUGAGGCACAGGCUGCGAAGCACUGAGGAGCGAGCUGUCGAGGGAGGAGGCGGCGCGCCUGGGGCCGGGCCGACGGGGGCCGGGCUCCUGGCGGCGGUGUGGGGGGAGCCAAGCCCGGGCAACAGGCGCAGGGCAGUGCAGCCAGGCGCCCCACCGGGCAGCGGCUCUUCCAAGGCAGUCCCACGCAGCGCGCAGGCGGAGCCGUGGGCUUCGGGAGCGUCGCGAAGGCAUCGCCCGGGACCGAGCGCGGUGAGCUUCGGCAGCCCGCACUCACGCCGGGCACCCUCUCCCCGUCCGGGCGUACAGGCAGCCGGCAGCUGCCUGCGCUGGCUCUUCUCCCCGGGGUAAAAACCUCACCUCCUCCCGCGCGCCUCUCUGGCACCCAAUCGAAAUGGAAAAAGUGGACGAAAAGCACCCCAGUUUUCCCCGAUAAAGUACAGCGCAAAAACUGUUUUCAUAACGACUGGAGUAGAUGAAUGUGGAUCUGACAAGUUUGUUUAGAAACACCACUGCCCACGACUGAAUGCGAUGCUCCACUUCUACAAAAUACUAAGUGUUGUCAGUAAUCAUUGUAAGAGCAACAAUAAUCUGAGAACAAAGACAUUUUGCAAUAUCUACAUAACUUUUUUAGAACAAAAUUACCUCAAAAUGCGAAUAAAAUCCCAAACCUCCUGAAUACAACUGAAUAAAUUUUUUCUCCGGGUUAAAA